AUUGAACGCUGGCGGCAGGCUUAACACAUGCAAGUCGAGCGGGGGAAGGUAGCUUGCUACCGGACCUAGCGGCGGACGGGUGAGUAAUGCUUAGGAAUCUGCCUAUUAGUGGGGGACAACAUCUCGAAAGGGAUGCUAAUACCGCAUACGUCCUACGGGAGAAAGCAGGGGAUCUUCGGACCUUCCGCUAAUAGAUGAGCCUAAGGCGGAUUAGCUAGUUGGUUGGGUAAAGGCCUACCAAGGCGACGAUCUGUAGCGGGUCUGAGAGGAUGAUCCGCCACACUGGGACUGAGACACGGCCCAGACUCCUACGGGAGGCAGCAGUGGGGAAUAUUGGACAAUGGGGGGAACCCUGAUCCAGCCAUGCCGCGUGUGUGAAGAAGGCCUUAUGGUUGUAAAGCACUUUAAGCGAGGAGGAGGCUACUCUAGUUAAUACCUAGGGAUAGUGGACGUUACUCGCAGAAUAAGCACCGGCUAACUCUGUGCCAGCCGCCGCGGUAA
RNAcentral lists this ribosomal RNA (501 nucleotides) under uncultured bacterium. Its description in RNAcentral is "partial 16S ribosomal RNA". It matches the Rfam family "Bacterial small subunit ribosomal RNA", at positions 30 to 523 of the family's 1533-position model. The record is from RNAcentral.